Molecule: ribosomal RNA, 413 nt
Filed under: uncultured prokaryote
Description: bacterial SSU rRNA
Rfam family: Bacterial small subunit ribosomal RNA
Source: RNAcentral
GUGUCAGCCGCCGCGGUAAUACGGAGGAUGCAAGCGUUAUCCGGAAUCAUUGGGCGUAAAGAGUCCGUAGGUGGCACUUCAAGUCUGCUUUCAAAGACCGAAGCUCAACUUCGGAAAGGGAGUGGAAACUGAAGAGCUAGAGUAUAGUAGGGGUAGAGGGAAUUCCUAGUGUAGCGGUGAAAUGCGUAGAGAUUAGGAAGAACACCAGUGGCGAAGGCGCUCUACUGGGCAUAUACUGACACUGAGGGACGAAAGCUAGGGGAGCGAAAGGGAUUAGAUACCCCUGUAGUCCUAGCGGUAAACGAUGGAUACUAGGCGUAGUGCUGUUAGAAGGACUGUGCCGAAGCUAACGCGUUAAGUAUCCCGCCUGGGGAGUACGCACGCAAGUGUGAAACUCAAAUGAAUUGACGGGG